AAGUCGUAACAAGGUUUCCGUAGGUGAACCUGCGGAAGGAACAUUG
Molecule: ribosomal RNA, 46 nt
Filed under: Carpinus turczaninowii (Korean hornbeam)
Lineage: Eukaryota; Viridiplantae; Streptophyta; Magnoliopsida; Fagales; Betulaceae
Description: partial 18S ribosomal RNA
Rfam family: Eukaryotic small subunit ribosomal RNA
Source: RNAcentral